AUUGAACGCUGGCGGUAGGCCUAACACAUGCAAGUCGAACGCGAAAGUCCUUCGGGAUGAGUAGAGUGGCGGACGGGUGAGUAACGCGUAGGAAUCUAUCCUGUAGUGGGGGAUAACGUUUCGAAAGGAACGCUAAUACCGCAUACGCCCUACGGGGGAAAGCGGGGGAGUCUUCGGACCUCGUGCUAGAGGAGGAGCCUGCGUCGGAUUAGCUAGUUGGUGAGGUAAAGGCUCACCAAGGCGACGAUCCGUAGCUGGUCUGAGAGGAUGAUCAGCCACACCGGAACUGAGACACGGUCCGGACUCCUACGGGAGGCAGCAGUGGGGAAUAUUGCGCAAUGGGCGAAAGCCUGACGCAGCCAUACCGCGUGUGUGAAGAAGGCC
This 384-nucleotide ribosomal RNA is filed under the name uncultured bacterium. RNAcentral describes it as "bacterial SSU rRNA". It matches the Rfam family "Bacterial small subunit ribosomal RNA", at positions 29 to 416 of the family's 1533-position model. The record is from RNAcentral.